RNAcentral lists this ribosomal RNA (447 nucleotides) under uncultured bacterium. RNAcentral describes it as "SSU rRNA". It matches the Rfam family "Bacterial small subunit ribosomal RNA", at positions 26 to 518 of the family's 1533-position model. The record is from RNAcentral.
AGAGCGAACGCUGGCGGCAGGCUUAACACAUGCAAGUCGAGCGGGCGUAGCAAUACGUCAGCGGCAGACGGGUGAGUAACGCGUGGGAACGUACCUUUUGGUUCGGAACAACCCAGGGAAACUUGGGCUAAUACCGGAUAAGCCCUUACGGGGAAAGAUUUAUCGCCGAAAGAUCGGCCCGCGUCUGAUUAGCUAGUUGGUGGGGUAAUGGCCCACCAAGGCGACGAUCAGUAGCUGGUCUGAGAGGAUGAUCAGCCACAUUGGGACUGAGACACGGCCCAAACUCCUACGGGAGGCAGCAGUGGGGAAUAUUGGACAAUGGGCGCAAGCCUGAUCCAGCCAUGCCGCGUGAGUGAUGAAGGCCCUAGGGUUGUAAAGCUCUUUUGUGCGGGAAGAUAAUGACGGUACCGCAAGAUAAGCCCCGGCUAACUUCGUGCCAGCAGCCGC